AAUUCUGGAAUGUCUUUAUAGUCUCCUUUAUCCUAGUUCUGAAUGACAACACAUUUUUUAAAAUUCAUGUUUCUAACUUUGUUCAAUUUGAAAUUAAUUAUACUUGUAAUUUUUGGACUGGAAUUGAAUUGAAUUAUAUUGAUCCAAAAUUUUUUCUCAGAAGAAUGUAAUUUCAUUUCUCUGAACUUCAAACAUGAGUUAUUUUCCAUAAUGAUAGUAAAAAAUUGAAGAAUAGAUGGCACUAUCAGAAUAAAUGCAUGUAGAUAAAAUAAUCAAUAGCUCAUAUAAAAAUGCUUUGCUCACUUUUUUAAUCCUUUGGCAUUGCCUAAAAGAACUAAAGGUUUCUCUUUCAACACUAGUCUAGUCAGUUCACCUGGCCCAAAUGGCUGUAGAAACCAGGUCCUUCCCCGUCCUGCUGGGUUACUGGAGGGUUGGGUUGGAUGUACAGCCCGACUGGUUUUCACAUCUCCUCUUUUGUCCUCCAUGGUGGGUAAUACCACCACGGGGAUAAGUGUGCAUUGCUCAAGGGUGCUGUUAGAAGACAUGACUUCAGUGUACCCUUCUUCACAAUGGCAUGUUUUUGUCUGCAGGAGAACAAGAAGAUUUAUACUAGCCAUGCAAGGAAUCUUUGGAAGUCUAACAGACCUGACUUGAAGAGAAGGCUUUAAACAAGAAAUUCUUCAUUCUGGAACAGUGAUUCUUAAAGUGCGGUUCAGAGACCCUGGGAGACACUGACAUUCUUUCAGAGUGUGAGUGAGGAUUUCCUCUUUGCAACUACAAUCUGUGUAAGGUUGGAUUUUCUUUACAUACAUAAACUAAAAUAAGAUUGCAAUAAGAUGAAUGCAGAAGCAGAUAAGAGAAUCCAGCUGUCUUAAGUUAGACUUCACAGAGAUUUGCAAAAAUCCAAACAAGACCACUCUCGUCAUUAAAGUUAUUUUCCAUUUGUUAUGGUGAACUUAUUUUGCAGGAAAUUUGUUAUUUAUAGUAACAUACAAUUUUGUUUUUUGAUCAUUUUAAAUAAAUUAAUAAAUAUUAUAAGUUUUCUAUUUUUAAAAUUAUACAUGUCAGAAAAGAACAGUUCUUUCAGGUCCUCAACAAUUUUAAGACUAUUAACUUGUUUUGGAUCAAAAAGUUCUAGAUUUGCUAUUCUAGACAUGAAUCCUUUGAAAUUAAUUGGCUUCAUAAGUAUAUUUUUCAAGUUUGUGGCUUGUCCUGUAACCUUCUACUGUGUAGAAGUUUUAAAUUUUAAUUUAAAGAAAUUUAAAAUUUUUUCAUUUUUGUUUGUGCUUUUGGUGUCAUAUUUAGGAAAUCCUUCUCUACCUUGAGUUCAUGAAAAUAUCCUCUUAUAUUUAGUAUUUACAGUUUGUUCUUCAUCUUUAGGUCUAUAAUUUAUUGAAAAUAUAGUUUUGUAUGUGAUGUAAGCUAAAGAUAUUUUUUAAAACUUGAUAUGGAUAACACAUUUUGGCAAUAUUAUUCAUCCACUCAUUCUCCCACUGACUUUCCCUCUGCCACUUACUUACCUACAUAAGAAUUUGUCGUGGAGAUUCUCUUUUCUAUUCUUUUAGUCUAAUGGCUUAAUUGUUGAUCAAUUACCCUUUUUAACUAUUGAUGCUUUAGAGUAAGUCUUGAUAUAAAGCCAUGUAAGUCCCUUGAAUUAGUCUCCCACUUUUCCUUCUUAAAAACAUUCUGGGAUCUUCUUGGCCUUUAACUCCUCUGACUUAAUUUUAGGAUCAAUUUCUCAGAUUACAUUAACAACCUGUUCAAAUUGCAUAGAUUUUAUAGGUAAAUCUGUAUAAAAUUUACAUGUUAUAAUAUUGGGGCUUUUUAUUCAUAAACAUUUUCACCAACGUUUUAGUUUCAUAUCUUCCAAUAAGAUUUUAUAAUUUUUCAUACCUAUCUUAGAUGAUUUUGGUUGCAUUUAUUUUUUAUAGUUUUAGUUUUAUUGUCAAUGCAGCUUUUUCCAAUUCAAUUUUAUAACAGUUUUGCUGGUUAAAAAAAAAAAAAAGACUAUUUAUUUUGUGUAUUGGUUUUUAAAUUGUACAAUGUUUCUGAAUUUUCUUACUUCCAAACAGUCGUCUAUAAAUUAUCUUGAUUGUCUAAAAUGUGAAAUUCAUAUACUAUGAGAAUGAUAAUUUUAUUUUUUCAUUUUCAAUUCUUAAACUUCUGAUGACACUUGGCUGGAACCUCCUUCACUAGGUUGAAAAUAAGUGGCAACAGUGGUAUCCUUGUUCUGUUAUUGAUUCCAAGAGCCUGCCUCUAAUGUUUCCCCAUGUAUUAUGAUGUUUGUGUAAAUUUUGAUAGACCUUAUUUAUUAAGUAAAAAGAUUCUCUUCUAGUUCAAGUUUGGUCUACAAGUUUUUAUUGUGAAAGUGAACUGAAUUUUAGAAAUACCUUUUAAUGUGUAUAAAAAAUUAUAUCUUUAUUUCUGUUAAUGUGAUAAAUUACAUUAAGAGAUUUUAUUAAUAUUUGGUUAUCUUUGUAUUUCAACAAUUAUUUGGUUAUCUUUGUAUUUCAACAAUUAUAGUCAUAUUAUUAAAUAUUAAUUUGGUUAGCUAA
RNAcentral lists this long non-coding RNA (2555 nucleotides) under Homo sapiens (human). Its description in RNAcentral is "PREDICTED lncRNA (TCONS_00235579)". Lineage: Eukaryota; Metazoa; Chordata; Mammalia; Primates; Hominidae. The record is from RNAcentral.